CACUUCUCAGGGUCAUACCUGGAGAGUUCCCAGUACCCUACCAGUCUUGGCUGUGGGAGGGAGAUUCAAGCAGAGGCAAACCCAUUCCAUUCCUAGCUUGGGCAAUGGCUAGCGAGAGGAAGGCAAUCUGCUACAAGU
Tachyglossus aculeatus (Australian echidna) is the source of this 138-nucleotide small nucleolar RNA. NCBI's taxonomy places the organism in Eukaryota, Metazoa, Chordata, Mammalia, Monotremata, Tachyglossidae. The record is from RefSeq and is a predicted model, not a curated record.